CUUGCUGGAUGCUGACGAGCGGCGGACGGGUGAGUAAUGCAUAGGAAUCUGCCCGAUAGUGGGGGAUAACCUGGGGAAACCCAGGCUAAUACCGCAUACGUCCUACGGGAGAAAGGGGGCUCCGGCUCCCGCUAUGGGAUGAGCCUAUGUCGGAUUAGCUAGUUGGUGAGGUAACGGCUCACCAAGGCCACGAUCCGUAGCUGGUCUGAGAGGAUGAUCAGCCACAUCGGGACUGAGACACGGCCCGAACUCCUACGGGAGGCAGCAGUGGGGAAUAUUGGACAAUGGGGGAAACCCUGAUCCAGCCAUGCCGCGUGUGUGAAGAAGGCCCUCGGGUUGUAAAGCACUUUCAGCGAGGAAGAACGCCUAACGGUUAAUACCCGCUAGGAAAGACAUCACUCGCAGAAGAAGCACCGGCUAACUCCGUGCCAGCAGCCGCGGUAAUACGGAGGGUGCAAGCGUUAAUCGGAAUUACUGGGCGUAAAGCGCGCGUAGGUGGCUUGAUAAGCCGGUUGUGAAAGCCCCGGGCUCAACCUGGGAACGGCAUCCGGAACUGUCAAGCUAGAGUGCAGGAGAGGAAGGUAGAAUUCCCGGUGUAGCGGUGAAAUGCGUAGAGAUCGGGAGGAAUACCAGUGGCGAAGGCGGCCUUCUGGACUGACACUGACACUGAGGUGCGAAAGCGUGGGUAGCAAACAGGAUUAGAUACCCUGGUAGUCCACGCCGUAAACGAUGUCGACCAGCCGUUGGGUGCCUAGCGCACUUU
This 763-nucleotide ribosomal RNA is filed under the name Vreelandella aquamarina. RNAcentral's name for it is "bacterial SSU rRNA". It matches the Rfam family "Bacterial small subunit ribosomal RNA", at positions 77 to 842 of the family's 1533-position model. The record is from RNAcentral. Lineage: Bacteria; Pseudomonadati; Pseudomonadota; Gammaproteobacteria; Oceanospirillales; Halomonadaceae.